Molecule: ribosomal RNA, 585 nt
Filed under: Rhodotorula mucilaginosa
Lineage: Eukaryota; Fungi; Basidiomycota; Microbotryomycetes; Sporidiobolales; Sporidiobolaceae
Description: eukaryotic LSU rRNA
Rfam family: Eukaryotic large subunit ribosomal RNA
Source: RNAcentral
UUUUCCAAAUCCCCAAACGGAGGAAAAGAAACUAACAAGGAUUCCCCUAGUAGCGGCGAGCGAAGCGGGAAGAGCUCAAAUUUAUAAUCUGGCACCUUCGGUGUCCGAGUUGUAAUCUCUAGAAAUGUUUUCCGCGUUGGACCGCACACAAGUCUGUUGGAAUACAGCGGCAUAGUGGUGAGACCCCCGUAUAUGGUGCGGACGCCCAGCGCUUUGUGAUACAUUUUCGAAGAGUCGAGUUGUUUGGGAAUGCAGCUCAAAUUGGGUGGUAAAUUCCAUCUAAAGCUAAAUAUUGGCGAGAGACCGAUAGCGAACAAGUACCGUGAGGGAAAGAUGAAAAGCACUUUGGAAAGAGAGUUAACAGUACGUGAAAUUGUUGGAAGGGAAACGCUUGAAGUCAGACUUGCUUGCCGAGCAAUCGGUUUGCAGGCCAGCAUCAGUUUUCCGGGAUGGAUAAUGGUAGAGAGAAGGUAGCAGUUUCGGCUGUGUUAUAGCUCUCUGCUGGAUACAUCUUGGGGGACUGAGGAACGCAGUGUGCCUUUGGCGGGGGUUUCGACCUCUCACACUAGGAUGCUGGGGAAAUCG